This 497-nucleotide ribosomal RNA is filed under the name uncultured bacterium. RNAcentral describes it as "partial 16S ribosomal RNA". It matches the Rfam family "Bacterial small subunit ribosomal RNA", at positions 28 to 507 of the family's 1533-position model. The record is from RNAcentral.
GAUGAACGCUGGCGGCGUGCCUAAUACAUGCAAGUCGAGCGAACAGACGAGGAGCUUGCUCCUCUGACGUUAGCGGCGGACGGGCGAGUAACACGUGGAUAACCUACCUAUAAGACUGGGAUAACUUCGGGAAACCGGAGCUAAUACCGGAUAAUAUAUUGAACCGCAUGGUUCAAUAGUGAAAGACGGUUUUGCUGUCACUUAUAGAUGGAUCCGCGCCGCAUUAGCUAGUUGGUAAGGUAACGGCUUACCAAGGCAACGAUGCGUAGCCGACCUGAGAGGGUGAUCGGCCACACUGGAACUGAGACACGGUCCAGACUCCUACGGGAGGCAGCAGUAGGGAAUCUUCCGCAAAGGGCGAAAGCCUGACGGAGCAACGCCGCGUGAGUGAUGAAGGUCUUCGGAUCGUAAAACUCUGUUAUUAGGGAAGAACAAAUGUGUAAGUAACUAUGCACGUCUUGACGGUACCUAAUCAGAAAGCCACGGCUAACUACGUG